This 253-nucleotide ribosomal RNA is filed under the name uncultured bacterium. RNAcentral's name for it is "partial 16S ribosomal RNA". It matches the Rfam family "Bacterial small subunit ribosomal RNA", at positions 524 to 776 of the family's 1533-position model. The record is from RNAcentral.
UACGGAGGGUUCAAGCGUUAUCCGGAUUCACUGGGUUUAAAGGGUGUGUAGGCGGGCAGUUAAGUCAGUGGUGAAAUCUCCGGGCUCAACCCGGAAACUGCCAUUGAUACUAUCUGUCUUGAAUAUUGUUGAGGUAGGCGGAAUAUAUCAUGUAGCGGUGAAAUGCAUAGAUAUGAUAUAGAACACCGAUUGCGAAGGCAGCUUACUAAACAAUUAUUGACGCUGAGGCACGAAAGCGUGGGGAGCAAACAGG